Molecule: ribosomal RNA, 433 nt
Filed under: uncultured bacterium
Lineage: Bacteria
Description: partial 16S ribosomal RNA
Rfam family: Bacterial small subunit ribosomal RNA
Source: RNAcentral
AACGAACGCUGGCGGCAUGCCUAACACAUGCAAGUCGAGCGAGCAUUUCGGUGCUAGCGUCGGACGGGUGAGUAACGCGUGGGAACGUGCCCUUUUCUGCGGAAUAGUCCUGGGAAACUGGGGGUAAUACCGCAUACGCCCUUUUGGGGAAAGAUUUAUCGGAGAAGGAUCGGCCCGCGUUGGAUUAGGUAGUUGGUGGGGUAAUGGCCCACCAAGCCGACGAUCCAUAGCUGGUUUGAGAGGAUGAUCAGCCACACUGGGACUGAGACACGGCCCAGACUCCUACGGGAGGCAGCAGUGGGGAAUCUUAGACAAUGGGGGCAACCCUGAUCUAGCCAUGCCGCGUGAGUGAUGAAGGCCUUAGGGUUGUAAAGCUCUUUCAGCUGGGAAGAUAAUGACGGUACCAGCAGAAGAAGCCCCGGCUAACUCCGUG